ACGACUCUCGGCAACGGAUAUCUCGGCUCCCGCAUCGAUGAAGAACGUAGCGAAAUGCGAUACCUGGUGUGAAUUGCAGAAUCCCGCGAACCAUCGAGUCUUUGAACGCAAGUUGCGCCCGAGGCCACUCGGCCGAGGGCACGCCUGCCUGGGCGUCACGC
RNAcentral lists this ribosomal RNA (161 nucleotides) under Hordeum intercedens. Its description in RNAcentral is "5.8S ribosomal RNA". It matches the Rfam family "5.8S ribosomal RNA". Rfam says of the family: 5.8S ribosomal RNA (5.8S rRNA) is a component of the large subunit of the eukaryotic ribosome. It is transcribed by RNA polymerase I as part of the 45S precursor that also contains 18S and 28S rRNA. Functionally, it is thought that 5.8S rRNA may be involved in ribosome translocation. Lineage: Eukaryota; Viridiplantae; Streptophyta; Magnoliopsida; Poales; Poaceae. The record is from RNAcentral.